CGCACAUUGCGCCCCCCAGCAUUCUGGGGAGCAUGCCUGUUCGAGCGUCAUUUCGACCCUCAAGUCCUAGUUACUUGGUGUUGGGGUCCGCCGUGGCGGGCCCUGAAAUACAUUGGCGGAGCUGGUCAGCACUCUGAGCGUAGUAAAUAACCUCGCUUUUGAAGGCUCUCCGGCCCCUAGCCGUAAAAACCCACCAUAUCAAAAAGUUUGACCUCGGAUCAGGUAGGAAUACCCGCUGAACUUAA
This 245-nucleotide unclassified non-coding RNA is filed under the name Cainia anthoxanthis. Its description in RNAcentral is "partial contains 5.8S ribosomal RNA, internal transcribed spacer 2, and large subunit ribosomal RNA". Lineage: Eukaryota; Fungi; Ascomycota; Sordariomycetes; Xylariales; Cainiaceae. The record is from RNAcentral.